Non-coding RNA from Pangasius djambal, 72 nucleotides. Lineage: Eukaryota; Metazoa; Chordata; Actinopteri; Siluriformes; Pangasiidae. The record is from the annotation of a GenBank genome assembly.
UCUCUGGAGGACUAGUGGUUAGACCGUGUUGCUCUUGCUGCCACGGCCCGGGUUCGAUUCCUGGCCAGGGAA